RNAcentral lists this non-coding RNA (21 nucleotides) under Arabidopsis thaliana (thale cress). The record is from RNAcentral. Lineage: Eukaryota; Viridiplantae; Streptophyta; Magnoliopsida; Brassicales; Brassicaceae.
UUAAGUAUAUGACCGACCUAU